UACGGAGGGUGCAAGCGUUAUUCGGAAUUAUUGGGCGUAAAGAGUCUGUAGGCGGUAUGUUAAGUCGGAUAUUAAAUUCCGGGGCUCAACCCCGGAGCUGUGUUCGAAACUGGCAAACUAGAGUUUCACAGAGGUAAGUAGAAUUUCCGGUGUAGGGGUAAAAUCCGUAGAUAUCGGAAGGAAUACCAAAAGCGAAGGCAGCUUACUGGAGUGAUUCUGACGCUGAGAGACGAAAGCGUGGGGAGCAAACAGG
Molecule: ribosomal RNA, 253 nt
Filed under: uncultured bacterium
Lineage: Bacteria
Description: partial 16S ribosomal RNA
Rfam family: Bacterial small subunit ribosomal RNA
Source: RNAcentral